Labrus mixtus (cuckoo wrasse) is the source of this 4677-nucleotide long non-coding RNA. RefSeq lists it as uncharacterized. The transcript has 5 exons. NCBI's taxonomy places the organism in Eukaryota, Metazoa, Chordata, Actinopteri, Labriformes, Labridae. The record is from RefSeq and is a predicted model, not a curated record.
UGUGACUGGUUAUAUAAAAGUAUAGGGCACAGUUGGAGUGAACCAGAUGGGAUGAUGGCUGUCAUUUUAAAGACGAACGCGCUUUUCUUGUCUGCCUGUGGAAAUUUCGCCUCUGCAUGACCUUGUGAACUUGCCUUCCGUGUGACCCUCGACAAUCCCCCCCUCCGACGGCUCCCAGAACACCCCUCCACAUCCUUGUGCUCAUUUGAGCAGGCUAUUACCCAGGCAGGAAGUGACAUCAACGGGUCCAAACUAAAAAUAUGUCGCAGGACGGGCUGUCUAGGAUGUCCAGGACCGGUGUUUGUAAAGAAGGAUGCCAUGCACCGGCUCUACAGAGUGAUGCUCAUUGAAGGAUGCAGGAGAGAGCGCCACACAGGCGAGCCAGACAGACGCACUGGAGGCUGAAUACUGAUAGUCUUCCUGUGGCCUCCCUGGUCUGGUUGGCGCUUGAUGACAUGAACAGUUCUGGACAGAUGUGAACCAGCCUUCUUUACCAGUGGUCCUCUUGUUCCUGCGUCUCAUCUAUCUCUUCCCCUGCAGCUCCUGGCUAUCUUCACCCUCUGUGGCUCCUUCUGAUGGCCCCCUAAUCUCCGCCAGUGUGCAGCCAUGUAUGCAUUGCAAGGCGGCUGUGUAAUCAAGCCUGUGAACUCCACAUCUGAAGGAAGGAUUCUGUUUCUGAUCACAUGCCUUUUGAAGUCCAUCCAUUCGCUGAACACGGAUGUGUUGACGGGAUCAAGCUUGUCUCCUUGCAGCCUGCACAGCCGAGGCCGUGGAGCCAUUAGUGAGUCCCUCCUCUGAUAAUGAAGCCACAGAGGUGGUCUGAGCCAGUGUGGCACAGGAGCUCCAGCACAGGAGGAAGGUAGAUUAGUAUAAUUACCUGGCCACAGGGGAAUGAUGAGGAAGAUGUCUCACUUCCCGCAGGCCUUCACCGAAGAAGGACGGAGUGCUGAAUAAUCAGGUGCCACACUGGAAAGAAAAGAAGUGAAAAUUAGUUCCAAUCAUUGCUAAUGAUCAAAAUGUGAAACGAUGCAUUUUUAAUUGUGUGUGACAGUGAUUGCUCAUUUCAUGUUUUCCCAGAUGACAUCCAUGUCCCGCACAUGUAUGCAUUUGCUGUUUGUAGCUGUAGUUUAAGUCUCGCACACAUACAGUACAUAAAUCGCAGAUAUUCACACUCAGUGAGACUUUGAAGAGUCUAUGAGGUCAGGUUUUAAAUUAUGGUCUGCUCCCACACCAGGCUUUCUCUCCCCACUCCUGUAAAUCCAUUUUCCACACAAUGCAUUUCAAAUCAAGGCAGCGUCACCAUAACAUGCCUUAGGAAACAUUAAGCCAUAGUGCAUCACUUUCAUGUAUGAUAGCAUAGCCCCUGUAUGCUUUGAUGUGCUCACUUUUUUUUAAUGCUUUAUUAAUAAUAACACACAGGCUCCCUCUCACACCAAACAUCAGCUUCUGGUGCUCCUCUUUCUCUCCUCCUGAACUACAUCCCUCACUCCUUGCCUUUGCCUCAGCUCCUUCAUCCCUCCCCCGGCCCCUGAGCCAUGUCUCAGGAUUGGCCUGUUUGUGUUUGGGAUGGGGAGGGGGAGGAUUAGAGGGAAUGACAUGGGGGCCUCUGAGAUGAAGAGAGCGACAAAGACCUAUCAGAGGGCAGAGAGCGAGGGGCGCUGCGUCAUCAUUGGCUGACGUGGAAAUCAGACACGUCUUCAUUUCUUCCAGCCAUACAUUCUGAGUGCCCAGCUUUCAUUUCCAUGCCCGAGGAGGGAAGCAGAGUGAGGAAGAAGAGAGGGAGGGGGUCAGGAUUACAGUUUCUGUUUGUGCAUUUAAGUGAAUUUGCAUGUGUGUGUUUGCUUGCAUGAUGUGUACAGCAAACAUCCUACAAAUACAGAGGGAAGAGCGCAAAGACACUGAUAGCACUCACCUCCUCCAAAUCUGGACAAAAUACAAAAUCCUGGAGCACCCUGAAAACUCAUUGUGCCAUUCCAGCUAAACACAGUCCCUGUGCCUGAUUCACAGACACACAGGACCUACUUAUGAUACGGAUUUCUCACUGAUUUCUGUCAUUAUUUCAGCUUCAUCCCUGAAUACCUUGUUACAGGCACCCCAAAGCUCACAAUGGCUGUUCAGUAUUUUCUGCUUUUUUUUUUUCCUUUUCAAUAAUUUCAAAGCAAUGUUGGCGAUUUAGCAUUUCGCAGCUCCCCACGAUCACAUCUGCUGAUUUAAUUUUCUGCUUUUGUGUGCCGUUUGUGUUCCUUUUUGAUGUUUCUUUCCUCUAACUGUUAAAUAACAUCACUGAAUCUUGUUUUGUGUUUUUGCAUUAUAUUUCUCAGCCCACAACUUCUGCAGAAGUCUCUCAAGUCGUUUAACGCAAUCUGUGGCUGUAUUGUGUAAAAGCUGCAUGUAAUUAGUAACACAUGCCAUAAUUGCUUGUAUAUGUUCUCAUACACAUUAUGCAAUGUUGUCUACACAGAUUUGGCGGAAUUCUGCAAAGUUCUCAUGUGAUGAAUGUGCCCGUCCAUCUUGCCGUUGCAACAGACUGUUGUCAGUGUGCGCCUGCUUGUUAGGAUGCAGCCAGUUGACUCUGGCUGUUUGAGCCAUGAUGGAGCAGUGGUGCCGGGCCCCAGUUGACUUUUCUCUCCUCCUCUGCCCAUUAUAGAUCUGCGUGGUCUGCAGGUCCUCUGGGGGCACCUGGCUCCCCUCCCUGCAACCUAAGACCGGAUCGAUCGCAGAGGCCGUCAGGCGUCAGCUUCAAAGACCUCCUGCCCACUUCCUGCCACCUGGUGCUUUUUUUUUUUUUUUUCGGACAGAGGGUACAUUUCCGUUCCACUCCCUCCGCUCUCAGAUGCCCUUCUGGGAACAGGUUAAGGACAUGGAGCCGGUACAGCUCCUCCCUGUGAUCUACCUUCUGCCUUCUCCCUAGUCGUCCACACAGGGAGAAAGGGUGAGAGAUCAGAUCCGUCCAAACAACACACAACCUCACAUUUGAUGUAAGAUCCUGCUUUUGAUUCAGUCAUUGCCUAAAGGUGCAUAUUACUCAACAUGGAGACGUUUGGGUUAUUUCAUUUUUUUUUUGGCGAGGUUACUGACAGGUAUCAGGUGGAUUGGUUGAUUCAUAAAAAAAAAUGUGCAAAUAACCCCAACAUAUAGCAUCACUUUUCUAAAUGUAACAAGCUAUUACUUGUAUGGACUUUUGUAUCAUAGUUCUUAAAAAUGUAUAAAGUUAAGUGACCUUUUUGGCUUUUUAUUAAAAACUGAUCAACAAAACUGCUAUGGUAUGAAAAUCUUUCUCUCUCUUUCUUUCCCGUUGGUCAAGUAACAAAUGGCAGGGCUAUCGAACACACAUUUUAUCUCCAUGAGGGCUGUCGGACAAUCAGCUCCAAGAAUACAUGUUAAUCAAUCGAGGAUUUUUUGAAUCCGUCUAUUAAGCCCAGCCAUUUUUCCCCCCUCCAAUACAUUAGCAGAUCUCAGUAUGUCCGCUCCUCUUGUGAACAGGGAUGAGAAGGAGCUGGAGGGAGAGGAAAUAAAGGUCUGACGGGUUUGGCAAAGAGAGGAUGGAGGCUGAGACAGAUGGCAUGAAGUCUGCAGCACUCUGGCGUGGCUCGCCUGGUGCUAAAAUCCUCCUCUCUCACAUUCCAACAAAUCCUACCAGGAGGCUGGGGAGUCUGUCACACCACUCCAAGGUUCCACACGGCUCACUUCAACCACCCCCCCCCACCCCCCCAACCCCCCACAUCUCCUCCUCAUCCUCUGUCGCCCCGGCCCAGACAGAGCCCCUGACCACUCUGCGCCCAACCCUGCUAUAUUUCAUCCUCACAUAUGUGUACAUCCACAUUAGCAUGUAUGGAGGUGGGUUAUUUGGACCUUUACAUGCCUGGAGAGAUAAGAAGCAACAGGGGGAGGAUGUGAAGAAACGCCUGCUCUCAUAGGAAAAGCAGCCAGGGGGGCUUAAUUGAGAGAGGUGGCCUUUACUGUGACUCCAGUGUAGAAAAUCUUAUUCAGUAAACACUGCACCAAAUCAUCAGGGAAAGACUGUACAAUCCAUUUAUAUCAGAGGAAGAGGACAUAAGAGGCUUUUUGAUUAGUUUCACCACAGCCCGCAUCAGUGCGCAGAAACACUGAAGCCCAAUCUCAAUCCACACACAUGCACACACACACACACACAUUUCUCAGACUCAUUUUUCACGGCUCCCUGCAGGCCUCACAAUCCAAAGUGGACAGUAAGUGUAACUGUGAUUACACACAUAGCACAAGACCCAACAACUGGAUCAUGGGCCUCCCAUGACAUCUCCAUCUCCAAAUGCCGUACUUUCAGAUAUCCUUUGAAUUUCUGAUGCGUCUUUUUUUUUUUUUAUCAUCUGAAAACUGGUUUGUGUAAUAAGAACAAUCUAAUUUAUUUUACACUCUGCUCUCUCCCCACGUCUCUUUUCGCGCUGUCUCUCUGCCUGCCUUCUGUUUGUUCUAAUGAAUGACUGCUGAGAUGAGGUGCUGCUGUGCGGGGGUCACAAGGGGCUUCAGAAUCACAUUACUGUUAAUGAUAAUAAAAAGAACAAUCUGUGCUAAGCCUCUCGGAUGUCUUCCUCUCUUCUCUCUCCAUAUGGAAUGACUGUUUUAUCCGCCAUUGUUUUUUGUGUUUGAAUCGCAUGCAAUGCAAUUGAAAUGCACAAUAAAUACUGUUUUGUGUCAUUA